This is a long non-coding RNA of Thalassophryne amazonica, 118 nucleotides long. RefSeq lists it as uncharacterized. The record is from RefSeq and is a predicted model, not a curated record. The transcript has 3 exons. NCBI's taxonomy places the organism in Eukaryota, Metazoa, Chordata, Actinopteri, Batrachoidiformes, Batrachoididae.
AAAAAAGCAUAAUUUGAAGAUGGCAGUGGACAGUGGCUGUGCCUUUGUAAUGAGUACAAUGAUGUACAGUACAGGGGAGAUUUUAUUCAUUUUUAUUAAGGAACAAUUUUUCAGAUAU